AUGGUGCAGUGGUUUGGACGCAGGUUUGAGUCCCGGUCGGCUACCCAACAAAAUUGCUGUGUUGUUAUCAGAAGUGGGAUGAUGUCGUUGUGCGCUUCCUAGGGGUAGUGUUGCAUCCCACCUAGUCUAGAGCUUCCGACAGCUAGGCAUAGUGGCUCAGGUAUUGGAUGAACAGAUGAAGGGUUAGUUUGAGUCAAGCUUGGUCUACCCCUGAAGACACUGGAGUAUCAUUACUGAAAGUACUGUAGGUGUGUGAGACAGAGUCAAGUGAAAGUAAUCUGACAUCCCUCUACAAAUAUUCUCCCAUGAAUGCUUCUGUUGUAUGACUGGUGGGAUUCGUCUUCAAACCUACUGAGGCCCUGUUCAAAUACUUUGAAAAAGCAUCCUUCCUUAUUCCCUUCCUUGAAGUAAGCUAAUCAGUGAUGGAAUAUAAUCAGAUAUAAUUGGACUGGGAGGUAGGUUCCUAGGUGUGAGAAGUGUGCAGAAGGGCAUGAGACAAAGGAAUGUGUAGUAUUGGGGAAAGAAUCGUUAUGUGUUAAUUGUAGGGGUGCCCAUGGAUCAGAAGUGUCCGUUGCGAGAGAGGCAGGUUGAGGUUACCAGGGUUAGAGUAGAGCAGAGGGUGUUGUAUGCUGAGGCAGUGAAGAAAGUAGAGGAAGAUGGUUCAAGGGGGAGGGAUCCUGAGAGGAUCCGUGUGAGUAGAUCUGUGCCAGCACAGAAGGAUAGGCCUAUGAAUGACAUAUGCUUCAGUAAGAUUGGCUUCUUAACGUUUAUAGCAAUGGUUAUCAACCACGGGGAUGGAACAUAAGUCCCAGAAAAUAGAGGUUCUGGUGGCAGCUGCAGAGAAAUAUUUGGUUGUACGAGAUUUUACUUCAGAAGAGUUACAGGGUGUGUUGAGUGGUGGUGUCCAGAUAGGGUUUUAAAUAUUGGAAUUGGGUGGUGGGUUGAUCAUGGUUAGAUGACAGUUUUUUCUUCUUCUUAUUGUAUUUAAUUUUGUUCCGAAAAGUAUAAGGGAUUUAGACCCGAGUGUAGUUAGUGGCAGUUUUGCAACAUAAAUAUGAUGGAUGCCAACCGCCACACCGAAGAAGAACGAGUUGAGGACUCAAGGGCGUGAGGAAUCUCCACAGAAAGAACAAUGAGACAGAUAUUUUACCGGAUGUAUAAAUAUGAAGCAUCCGGUUGGCGUUUCCACUCACUACCAAAUAUGGUGACGUGAGGAAGCUUGUGGCCGGCAGUGGGAGAAGAUUGAACGAGAUGGACUUUGGCCGAGAUUCUGCACAUUUUCUCAUCGCUGAAACAGUUUAUCGACAUACAGGUUUCUGUUUCCAAAACUAGAAUCUGUAGACUUUACCCUUUGCCAAAGUAAAAAAAAAAUGUAUUGUUUAGGAGCGCAAGGACGAAUGGAUCUCACUGGCUCGUGCUUUACUCCCACCUCCUUGCUUGUUCGACCCACUAUGAUUCGUUCAUCUGCUCUGUGGUAUAUCUUGGGUUAGUUAUAAAAAAUCAUUGAUAUCUCUGAAACGCAUCUGAAAAUACGCUCAGUUCCUGCCCUGGCAAGGCCUACAUUAAUCCGGUUAUUGCUGUACAAAUUGGGAGAAGUAAACCCUCACAAUGCUGAGCACAGUUAGCCGGCAGCUUAAAAGCCACCCAGCAGUAAGUACAUGUGAAAUCGGGAAGUUUGCUAAAUCGUAUAGAUUAUUUGGGGGGGAUUUGCGUCGUGCUAACGUUAACUUCGAAGCUAACCACAUUGCAAUUUUUAAUACGUUACUCGUUUCCCCCAAGUGUCGACUUUUUGUCAUGUGUUUCGUGUUUGGAAAAAGACGACAAGAUUGAAUAUAACGAUAUGGUGUUUACUGCAUUGAUCGUUGAUUGACAAGUGAUGGCAUUUACCACAGACCUAAACGGCCCUGUUUGCUAACUAGUUAGCUACUGUAGCUAUUUGGCGCAAGUGUGGGUUAUGUUCUUGAAAGGGCAAGGUCUAAAAAAUAAUUGAAUGUAUAGUUAAUAUUAUUUACACGUUUUAAGUGACUGUCCAAGGGAGGGAGCAGGCGUGUUUAGCUAGAUGGUUAGUUGCUGGAAUUGCGACCUGGCAAAAAAGACCUCAACUCAGUCAAGGACGAGGCGGUUAACCGAGGACAUAACGUUACUAUGCCAGUGUCACAGAACGACCUAGUGUAGUGGCUUUUUCUUGAAAAAGGUUAACUAGCUAUGAAAGUACUUUUCUUUCUUUUUUUAAAUCAAGGUUUAUUUGGUGGAAAUCGGGUAACUGUGGUCUCGGGACUUUGGCGAAAGUAUUUUUUGGGGGGGAGGAAAGCAAUCCAGUUGACUAAAUAUUUUUUUAUAGACGACCCUCCUCGGUCCUGCCAUUAUGCUCCUGAAGUUGCCGGUAAUAGGCUACACCAGCGGCCGGUUGUCUUUUUCAUGUGGAGUGCCAAUUUACAAUUUAUCUAACCAGUUAUGGUUUUCAUCCACAUUUUCGUGGAACAGCUUAAUUUCCAUUACAAUAACGUUUUUUUUUUGUAUUGCCAACUAGGUAAAAAUAAUCAACAUAAAGCCAACGAAUAACAUUGCAAGUAAAUCAUAUCCUGAUGAAAAUAAAUAUCCUAUAAAUCACAUUGGCUAUGCAUGGAGGUUUGUUCAUUUCAUGUUCUUCAAUAGUUAAUCUCUCUACUCCAUCUGCAAUGAACUUGAAACAUUGUAUUAACUGGGUCUGGCCCACAGUUUGCACUGGCAACUGUAUCAACUCUUAUUGGUCCUCAGAGUUUAAUGAGCCACUGGACCAGAGCAUUACUUUUAUAUUUUCAUGCUGAGGCUCGGUGGUUAUCGAAAGUGAGCAAGCUGGAAAGAUUUUUCGAAUACAGUGAGGAACUAUUUAAAUUCUCAUUGGAUGUAAAGUAAAGACUGACUUGCUGUUUGAGGAAGAAGGAAGCUCAUUAGUGGUGCUGGUCCCCCUCUUCAUCUUCAUCGGUGGUGGGACGGUUAUGUCUGGGGCGUAUCUCUUGCGCCUGGCAAUGGGACCCCAUGUCAGUUGGAAUCGUAAUGGCAACCCCGAGCCAUGGAACAAGACGGAACCCACACAUCAGCACAAGUUUUACUCGGUGAACAUGGACUACAGCAAGCUGAAGAAAGAGGGUCCUGACUUCUAAACUCUUCUGCUGGACCAAAGGCUUGAGGAAAGAAAUGACUUAUUCUAACACUGACGUCCCUUACACCUGUAACUUGAAACCAGUGGAUGCAAAGAGGCUAAACCGCACAAGUUCCGUCCCCUUUGACCUUUUAACCAUCUCUUUUUUUCCCUCAUACCUCAUGGUUGUGCCGCAAUAAAGUUAAGGAGUCUUUUCUCCUGUGUACAGAGAAAAUGAUGUCUGUAAUUCUUUGUAGUCGGUGUUAAGGGCUUCAGGACUGAUUUUUAAUUCUAAAACAUGAUAUUCUGGUACCACGUUCUGGUUUGAAAUAAUGAAUUUAGUAAUUUGUUUCCCCACACUGACUUGAUUGUCAAUAUUUUGCUCUUGGUUUUUGCCUCAUGCCACCUUUUGUCUUCCUUGCCCUCCUUUUCCACCUGGCGGCUUUGUCUGCAUACAUGUAUAUCAUAAUACGCUUGACUAUGGUCCAGUGUGUAAUUUACAGUAUGACAUGCUUGGUACUGCAUAUGCUCACCCACAAGUUAUCAGAUGAGCCGUUGACAUGCUAGUGCUGUGUGCCUUUGAUAGAUCUUCACAUGGUCUGACCAUCUGUUCAAGGCUGCACUGCACCAUUAUAGGCCAUGUUGUCUGAAGGUCUGCAAUCACUCACUGACUAAAACCAGGCACGUGGGAGUAAAGGAUAACAGACAAACUAUUAAGGUUGGCAUUGUAUUAGCAAACAAUAAAGCAAUGAUAAUGUUCCCGAGAGUAAUAAACAGCAG
RNAcentral lists this long non-coding RNA (3901 nucleotides) under Salmo salar (Atlantic salmon). RNAcentral's name for it is "lncRNA (ENSSSAG00000093125.1)". The record is from RNAcentral. Lineage: Eukaryota; Metazoa; Chordata; Actinopteri; Salmoniformes; Salmonidae.